UGGGGAAUAUUGCACAAUGGGGGAAACCCUGAUGCAGCGACGCCGCGUGAGUGAAGAAGUAUUUCGGUAUGUAAAGCUCUAUCAGCAGGGAAGAAAAUGACGGUACCUGACUAAGAAGCCCCGGCUAACUACGUGCCAGCAGCCGCGGUAAUACGUAGGGGGCAAGCGUUAUCCGGAUUUACUGGGUGUAAAGGGAGCGUAGACGGCAAGGCAAGUCUGAAGUGAAAGCCCGGGGCUCAACCGCGGGACUGCUUUGGAAACUGUCUGGCUGGAGUGCCGGAGAGGUAAGCGGAAUUCCUAGUGUAGCGGUGAAAUGCGUAGAUAUUAGGAGGAACACCAGUGGCGAAGGCGGCUUACUGGACGGUAACUGACGUUGAGGCUCGAAAGCGUGGGGAGCAAACA
RNAcentral lists this ribosomal RNA (402 nucleotides) under uncultured bacterium. RNAcentral's name for it is "bacterial SSU rRNA". It matches the Rfam family "Bacterial small subunit ribosomal RNA", at positions 355 to 774 of the family's 1533-position model. The record is from RNAcentral.